GGCCCCGCGGGAGUCCCUCACGCACGGACCCGGAUCGCCAGCCGACUCCCAGACCGGGAACACCGCUUCUCUUCGCCUCCUCCGCGUCCCGGCACGUUUUCCUCGCCAGCGCUCGAGGAGCAGCAGCAGCGGGGCUGGCAGCCCGGAGCGGCCCCGGUGACUCGGAGCUGCUGUGUGCGGUGUCAGCCUGCCGAGCCGCCCCCGCGCUCGGUAUCUGCCUCACCGCGCUGCCAGCUCCAUAGCCACGGCUUGGCACCGCUCCACCUCUCGGUGGGCAGCUGGCAGCGUCCCGCUCGUUCCCCAGCCCGGGGCCGUGUGGCGGCUGCGGCGGCGGCUGCGGAGCGCGGUCGGAGCCCAUGCGGCGGCAUUGAGGACUGAGGAGCGGCUGAGGUGCGCAAGGCUGACGGAUGCUGAAACACGAAGAUGAUUUAGCAAAACGCGAUCGAGGCUAGGGGAGAACAUUGAAAAAUUAACUGGUAUUACCUCAUUUUGUGCUGACCCCUACACUAUGAACACAUACUGGUUUUGCUGUCACCUCAGACCAGUGGUGAAUACGAAGACUGUGGCCACUGAACUGCAUUUCUCUCUAUAAAGCAGCUUUAAAAUAACCAUCCAGAUGGCAGACAAGCAAGCAGUGGUGAUUGACUGCAUUUUGGAAUUUUGACCUCAGCACCAUUGCAGACAGCUGUGGCUAAAGGUGAAAAUGAAACUUCUCUGUACAUGAUAAACCAAAGCCCUAGGAAUCAUCUCUCAGUAUUUUAACUGGCUGAGAUUUCAGGAGGUAGUGCUGUUGCUCCAUCUGAAACACAAGUUUGCCUAAAUACAACCCUCUGUAGUAAUAGGGUAAUAAAGAAGAGGAUUCUGCAGUGCUGGAGACAAGAUUUGGAUUUGAUGUUUGAAAAUCCCUCUGUUCUUAUGUUCCUGUAAGACUGGUCUGUAACUUCCCAGCUGGUAACAUCAGCUAUUUACCAGCUCAGCUUUAUCCCCUCUGAACAGAGAAGUUCUGGAUACACUUAAUACUGAAAAUACAUUCCAGUGUUACAUAAGGGUUG
Molecule: long non-coding RNA, 1052 nt
Organism: Melospiza georgiana
Lineage: Eukaryota; Metazoa; Chordata; Aves; Passeriformes; Passerellidae
Exons: 3
Source: RefSeq, a predicted model, not a curated record